RNAcentral lists this long non-coding RNA (1261 nucleotides) under Homo sapiens (human). Its description in RNAcentral is "HSALNT0206518". Lineage: Eukaryota; Metazoa; Chordata; Mammalia; Primates; Hominidae. The record is from RNAcentral.
CCAGGUCCUGUGCAUUUUCUAAGCAUUUUCUAUGCAUUACCUCAUUUAAUUGUCACAACAACUGUUAUUACACUCAUGACUAAAGAUAAGAAAACUGAAGCACGGAGACAUUAAAUGAUUUGUCUUACUUCCCAUAAUUAGGUAAGAAUUUUGACACCAGGAAAUCUUUUUCCAGCACCCAGCCUGUUAUUCCGCCUUUCAUAUUCAUACGGCAGAUGUAAGUCCAAAACAGAAAGGCCUUGCCUAGGAAAGUGAAUGAUAAGCAAAUCUAAUUGAGAAAAAAACCAACCAGAGUCAGUGUCCAGUAAUGGCUCUGCAAUGCGCAGCCUCCGAAUGUGACGACCACAGGCUCUGCUUGCCUUUUACCUGACUGCCAGCACCCUGCAGAGCAGCAUCAAAGUUCUGGAGGCCAGAAAUUUGAAAUGAGUCUUAUGGAGCUGAAAUCAAGCACAAACCAAAGCUGGGCUUCAUCUGGAUGCUCUAUGAAAGAUUCCUUUGCUCGCCUCUUCCAAUUCCUGGUGGUUGCUGGCAUUCCUUGCAUUGUAGACUCGUCAUCCCAACGUCUUCCUCCUUGGCCCCAUUGCCUUCUCCUCUCCUGUGUGGGCAUCAUCAACUCUCCCUUUCCCUCCCUCUUAAAAGGAUAUGAAUGUGACUGCUUUAGGACCUACCUGGAUAAUUCAGAAUAAUCUCCCCAUCUCAAGACCCUUAACAUAAUCACAUAUGCAAAGAACUUCUCUUUUCUUUAAUCAUAUGAGUUAACAUGUACAAAUUUCAGAGAUGAGAACAUGGAUAUCUUUAGGGUGCCAUUUUUUCAGUCCAUUGGAAAUGGUAGAUGUGGAAGAAGAGGAGCUAAAAUUCAAUCAGACUAGGGGUCUGCAAUCUGUAGCCUGCAAGUCAGUGCCUGUUUUUGUAAAUAAAGUUUUAUUGGAGCACAGCCAUGCCAGUUUUUUUGCAUGUUGUUUAUGGCUGCUUUCCUGCUACCUGGAAGAGUUGAGUGGUUGUAACAGUAACCAUAUGGUCCUCAAAGCUGAAAAUGUUUACUGUCUGGCCCUUUACAGAAAAAGCUUGCCAGUCCCUGGGUUAGAUCAAGAAUGUGGCAAAUCAUACUGGGGAGAUUAUAAGGUUUUAAUUUAAAGUUCAGCAGCAGACAAGUGAGGGUAAGAACUUCAGUGGAUGAAAAACCUACAAAAUACCAGUAGAUUUUACAGUUAGACUUUGGUAGUUUUGGGUAGACAUAUUUCAUUGAAAUGGUGAAAGUGGA